This 2424-nucleotide long non-coding RNA is filed under the name Panax ginseng (ginseng). Its description in RNAcentral is "long non-coding RNA (PGIN_LNC011631)". The record is from RNAcentral. Lineage: Eukaryota; Viridiplantae; Streptophyta; Magnoliopsida; Apiales; Araliaceae.
CUGCAUGCAUUGAAGAAUUCAACAUACACUAAAUAUUCCUCCAGAAACAGUAUAGAAUAUCGCAUUUCAAAGUUUGCUGCUUAUAAAAUUACUAAUAUGACUAGGAAAUGCUAAUGGCUUGGUUCCCCUUAACUUCCUAGAAAAAGGGUUUCAUUAGAUAAAUUCAACUAUGCAGCAAAAAAAAAAAAAAUCAAAAUAAACUUUUAGUGUUAGUAGUAUAAAACUGACAUAAUAUUCUUCUCAUAAUUUCAUUAUCUAUUAAACUAACUAAUUAUUUGUAGUAGUAUGCAUAAUAUCCAUAAGUUUUGUGAAAUGGAAUUCUUUUUGUGGGGAGAAAGGAGUUUGUAUUACAGACUAGUCAUCUGAUUAGGCAAGCAGAUUAGCUCAUGCUGUUGUCAGUUGCAAACGCUUCUUGGUCAACGAUUGCAUUUCUACAAGGAUAGUAGGACAUGCCAACCUUAAACCAUUAGACUUCGUGAUAAAAUACACUGCUGCACAGGACCAGACUAGAAAGGUUCUUCUAUAAACAAAAUCUAAGUUGAGAGCCACCACCUGAUCUUGAAUUGAUCAAACAUCUAUUUGAAUAAGCCCUUGAUCAAUAAAAGACCAGAAGUACACCAUGGCUGAUCAAUACUGCACACCAUCAUUUAGCUAUUGCAAUUCUCAAAUCAUUAGCAACACAAAUACCAAACUAAUAUGAAAGAGACGGGGAAUGUCUCCAAUCAAAAUCUCAUGAAUAAGAGACGGGGAACUAUCAUAUAUCUUUUCGGGGGAAUUUUUUUGGGGAAGGGGAGUUUUAGGCUAUACCCAAGCAAAUUAAUACAAAGGCCCCGCAAGCAACUUAGCCGUUCCCUCCAUCACAAGCUCCCCCAAUUAGCGGAUGGACAUGCUCAAUUCUAAAUAAAAUUCAACCCUCUUAAUGUUAUAUACAGAAUAUCACCCUAGAAAACCAAAAGGUCAUCUAGCCUUCCAAACAUAUCUGAAAACCAAAAUAUCUGAAAACCCUCUUAAUGUUAUAUACAGAAUAUCACCCUAGAAAACCAAAAGGUCAUCUAGCCUUCCAAACAUAUCUGAAAGAAUGAUAUAAAUAAAUAUUGCCGGACAGGUUGCAUAGUUUGUGAAACUAACACACCGCAGUCACCACCUAUUGAUUAGACAAAAACCACUCACAAGAUGUCCUGCCAGCUGCAUCUCCAACCUUGACAAAAGUAGACAUCAGAACUCAUAGGAGGUAAAAUCAGCCACUUUCUCGCAAGCAAUUCCCAGGCAAUAGAAACUUAUACUUGUCAGCAUUCUCCAAAAGAUAUGAUGGAAGAUGAACGGCAGAGUAGGAAUGCGGUAUGGGACCCAUUUUCCCUAUGAUUUCCUUGAAAGUAUACUCCUCCGGAAGCAUAUCAAAUAGAUCAGCUCCUCUGCAGAUUACCUUCUGAACUCUUUUAGGGUUCAAAAAUUUAGAGAACCUCACUCUAUCGAAAUGACUGUAUGCUUUCAUCUUAAAUAUGAACUCCCUGAUAUGACGGAAGCAAAAGCUGCAAUGCCAUCCAGCAUCUGCCAAGAUGUCAUUGGACUGGCGAUAAUGUGCAUACCUUGUCUUCCCAGACUGAUAUCUGUGAACUGAAGCUCUCCAACUAUUAUUGUCCAACAGAAACUCAAAAGAGUACAGGUAGUUCUUCAAACGAAGAUGAAGCACUGGAGGUAUGUCAUCACACCACCUCAACAAAUUGAUAGUAUGUCUACUUGGUAUCUCAUCCACAUCUGACAUUAUUAACAGGUCGUCGUCUUGAAUACCUGCUUGUUUGAUAAGAAAAUCCAAUGCUAACCGCUGAUAUGCCUCCUCGAUAAAUGGGUUUUCUCCUUUCUUAAAUCUGCCUGGAAUUUUCCCAUAGGUCAACCGCGACUCAACAAAUUUAAACUUGCCUCUGUUGCUGGCAAAAACCAGUGGCUUUGGCAAUCCAGUAAAUGUUGAAUUUGACUCUAGGAUAACAAAUUCUGUUACAUAAGGAUACAAUUCUUUCCACCGUAUUGUAAGGAGGUCCAGCUCAUUACUGAAUAACACUGCAUCAAAAACACGCCUUGGGAACUCACGGAUCCCCCAACCAUGAAGUUUGCAUAAAUUCUCCAUUGAUACAUUCUCAUGAUAAUAGUGAGGAAUUUCAUGGAACGGCUUGGGUGGAGCUUCCCAUAGUGGCCGUAAGAAGUAUGAUAUCUUCUGUCCGUGCAAAUACAGGCCAAAGACACAUGUUGGGACCAAAACCAAUAGGAAGAUAUAUGUUUUCAAAUCCAGCCCACGCAUAAUACAACGUAAUCUUGACAUGCUCAAAACACGGCCAGAGUCCUGCAUUUAAAGAAAUUUUUAUGUUUAAGACUUUGAAUGAAGAUGAUACGCAAAAACAAGUACCAAAUUAACAAAACAGAGUAUGCAGU